Molecule: ribosomal RNA, 465 nt
Filed under: uncultured bacterium
Lineage: Bacteria
Description: partial 16S ribosomal RNA
Rfam family: Bacterial small subunit ribosomal RNA
Source: RNAcentral
GACGAACGCUGGCGGCGUGCUUAACACAUGCCAGUCGAACGGAAAGGCCCUGCUUGCAGGGUACUCGAGUGGCGAACGGGUGAGUAACACGUGGGUGAUCUGCCCUGCACUUCGGGAUAAGCCUGGGAAACUGGGUCUAAUACCGGAUAGGAGCCAUUUUUAGUGUGAUGGUUGGAAAGUUUUUUCGGUGUAGGAUGAGCUCGCGGCCUAUCAGCUUGUUGGUGGGGUAAUGGCCUACCAAGGCGGCGACGGGUAGCCGGCCUGAGAGGGUGGACGGCCACAUUGGGACUGAGAUACGGCCCAGACUCCUACGGGGGGCAGCAGUGGGGAAUAUUGCACAAUGGGCGCAAGCCUGAUGCAGCGACGCCGCGUGGGGGAUGACGGCCUUCGGGUUGUAAACUCCUUUCGCUAGGGACGAAGCUUUUUGUGACGGUACCUAGAUAAGAAGCACCGGCUAACUACGUG